This is a small nuclear RNA of 143 nucleotides. Its record names the gene U2. It matches the Rfam family "U2 spliceosomal RNA". Rfam says of the family: U2 is a small nuclear RNA (snRNA) component of the spliceosome (involved in pre-mRNA splicing). The record is from Ensembl.
AUCGCUUCUUGGCCUUUUGGCUAAGAUCAAGUGUAGUAUCUGUUCUUAUCAGUUUCUCGGUGGGAGUCGUGGGGUGAAUGGGGCACCACUGAGAAGUGUUUUUUUAGCCCCAACCGCUAGCACUUUGAGCCCCAUCAGCUUUU